UUUCCUUUAGCUUAAGUUAAAAGCGUUAGUUUGAAGCACUAGAGUUAACAAUUUUGUUAAGGGGGU
RNAcentral lists this transfer RNA (66 nucleotides) under Anthocephalum grabatum. RNAcentral describes it as "Alveobothrium grabatum tRNA-Phe". The record is from RNAcentral. Lineage: Eukaryota; Metazoa; Platyhelminthes; Cestoda; Rhinebothriidea; Anthocephaliidae.